CACGUAGGGUGCGAGCGUUGUCCGGAAUUAUUGGGCGUAAAGAGCUCGUAGGCGGUGUGUCGCGUCGGCCGUGAAAACCUGCAGCUUAACUGUGGGCUUGCGGUCGAUACGGGCAUCACUGGAGUUCGGCAGGGGAGACUGGAAUUCCUGGUGUAGCGGUGAAAUGCGCAGAUAUCAGGAGGAACACCAAUAGCGAAGGCAGCUCGCUGGGACGAUAUUGACGCUAAGGCGCGAAAGCGUGGGGAGCAAACAGG
This 254-nucleotide ribosomal RNA is filed under the name uncultured bacterium. RNAcentral's name for it is "partial 16S ribosomal RNA". It matches the Rfam family "Bacterial small subunit ribosomal RNA", at positions 524 to 776 of the family's 1533-position model. The record is from RNAcentral.